This 240-nucleotide ribosomal RNA is filed under the name uncultured bacterium. Its description in RNAcentral is "partial 16S ribosomal RNA". It matches the Rfam family "Bacterial small subunit ribosomal RNA", at positions 524 to 762 of the family's 1533-position model. The record is from RNAcentral.
UACAGAGGGUGCGAGCGUUGUCCGGAAUCACUGGGCGUAAAGGGCGCGUAGGUGGCCCGACAAGUCUGUGGUGAAAGCUCGACGCUCAACGUCGAGUCGGCCAUAGAUACUGUUGGGCUGGAGCACUGUAGAGGCUCAUGGAAUUCCGGGUGUAGCGGUGGAAUGCGUAGAGAUCCGGAAGAACACCGGUGGCGAAGGCGGCUCUCUGGGACGGUACUGACGCUGAGACGGCGAAAGCGU